UACAGAGGGUGCGAGCGUUAAUCGGAAUUACUGGGCGUAAAGGGCGCGUAGGCGGCCUGAUAAGUUGACUGUGAAAGACAAGGGCUUAACUCUUGGAGGUCAGUCAAGACUAUCAGGCUCGAGUAGGAGAGAGGUGAGUGGAAUUUCCGGUGUAGCAGUGAAAUGCGUAGAUAUCGGAAAGAACAUCAGUGGCGAAGGCGGCUCACUGGCUCCAUACUGACGCUGAGGCGCGAAAGCGUGGGGAGCAAAC
RNAcentral lists this ribosomal RNA (250 nucleotides) under uncultured bacterium. RNAcentral's name for it is "partial 16S ribosomal RNA". It matches the Rfam family "Bacterial small subunit ribosomal RNA", at positions 524 to 773 of the family's 1533-position model. The record is from RNAcentral.